GAUGAACGCUGGCGGCGUGCUUAACACAUGCAAGUCGAACGAUGAAGCCCAGCUUGCUGGGUGGAUUAGUGGCGAACGGGUGAGUAACACGUGAGUAACCUGCCCUUAACUCUGGGAUAAGCCUGGGAAACUGGGUCUAAUACCGGAUAGGAGCGUCCACCGCAUGGUGGGUGUUGGAAAGAUUUAUCGGUUUUGGAUGGACUCGCGGCCUAUCAGCUUGUUGGUGAGGUAAUGGCUCACCAAGGCGACGACGGGUAGCCGGCCUGAGAGGGUGACCGGCCACACUGGGACUGAGACACGGCCCAGACUCCUACGGGAGGCAGCAGUGGGGAAUAUUGCAAAAUGGGCGAAAGCCUGAUGCAGCGACGCCGCGUGAGGGAUGACGGCCUUCGGGUUGUAAACCUCUUUCAGUAGGGAAGAAGCGAAAGUGACGGUACCUGCAGAAGAAGCACCGGCUAACUACGUG
RNAcentral lists this ribosomal RNA (466 nucleotides) under uncultured bacterium. Its description in RNAcentral is "partial 16S ribosomal RNA". It matches the Rfam family "Bacterial small subunit ribosomal RNA", at positions 28 to 507 of the family's 1533-position model. The record is from RNAcentral.